RNAcentral lists this long non-coding RNA (698 nucleotides) under Homo sapiens (human). RNAcentral's name for it is "HSALNT0407855". Lineage: Eukaryota; Metazoa; Chordata; Mammalia; Primates; Hominidae. The record is from RNAcentral.
CGGGAGGGCAGGAGGGCGGGUGGGUGCGGGAACACAGACCCGAUGCGCGAGCGGGAGCUGGCGCAGGGGAUCCGAACUGGCGAGUUCAAGUCACCUGGGAUGAGAACAGAAGUGUCAGCAGAGGACUGUAAGUGCUAUGUGAUUGGACGACGGUGGCCAUAGAAUUUCACCUGCCCAGCACGUAUUCUCUCAUCCUCUCCUCCUCUGCCUUCUUUGGGAGGGAGAAAUCAGAAGGAGUGGGGAUGCAGUUCAGAGAGCAGAGGAGAAGAGAAGAAAAGAAGGAAGAAGGAAGAGGACUAGGGUUGGGUGGGGGGGGAGGACACCAAUGGGAAGAGGGACAGAUCAACUCUAUACACAAAAGUAAAUCAAAACACCAAAAACAGGGGUCUAUGUAAAGAAGCCUCUUCCCGUGAAUUGCUCGUUGCAUAGCUGCAGGGAGGGUGUUUAGGGGCAUAGAGAAUGAAAACAUACCUGUAUUUUGGUGUAGGGAAAUUGUUUCUGUCAAUUCACACCGUCCACACACCACCUCCCACCCCAACCCCGCCACUACCAAAUUCCUCUAAAUAAAAAUAAUUAUGAGAUACAGGCCAACAAAAACGUCAGCGUUAGGCUGUUAUUUAGAGAGAAUUGGAAAGCGUUUGAAUGUGGCCCUGUUGUUUAAUAAACGAUAACAAUGAUUACUAAGUUGUCCUGAGUCA